CGCACCAAUUAAAACUAUUUCUCGGUUGCUCCACUACCAAUCGACAAGAGAGAAGUAGAAACUGUAGGAUGAUAAAACAAGAAGAGAAAAGAAACGAACUCGUGAUGGAUGAUGUUGUCUCGCCCGGCCUGUAUAAACUUUAGCGAGAUUUUUUCUCUCGAAUGGCAAAAGCAAGUGUUGCUGUUAUCGCGAUUUAAUAAGUGUACGUUUUGAUUACGGUUUCACAGAAUUGGCCUUUCCGACUGCUCGUGUGGAGAGUGAGAGAUAAAAGAUAGACCGCUCUCCUCGAGACCUCCCCAAAGUGAUAUGUGAGAAAAUAAACAACCCUCGUCGAGCCCUUGUCAGCAAAGGGCUGGCAAGUGCCUCUGCCUUCAUAUCGGCCCUUCGCACACCAUUACCUGUCCAGACGUGAUAGCUGACGCUGUCAGCGUUUGUUUGCUAGAAACUUUGUGAUAAUAUGGCUGUUUUUUUUUAUUUUGUAUAUCAAAAUCUAUAUAGUUUUAUUAAUUAAUACCUUUAAAACUCAAGAAGAUUAAGUAUGUUUUAUAGUUAAUUACUGACUAGGUAGUUAAGCUUUUAUUUCUUUUUCAGAAACAUUUAUAUUUUUUGUAAUCCCGUAUAUAUUAAUUAAUAAAUAAAUAGUUUUACAAUCAA
Long non-coding RNA from Anthonomus grandis grandis, 654 nucleotides. RefSeq lists it as uncharacterized. Lineage: Eukaryota; Metazoa; Arthropoda; Insecta; Coleoptera; Curculionidae. The record is from RefSeq and is a predicted model, not a curated record. The transcript is spliced from 2 exons.